RNAcentral lists this microRNA precursor (103 nucleotides) under Marmota monax (woodchuck). Lineage: Eukaryota; Metazoa; Chordata; Mammalia; Rodentia; Sciuridae. The record is from RNAcentral.
AGUGGGAUAGCUGGGCCAAAUGGUGGUACCAUUCCAAGUUUUCUAAGGAAUCUCUAUACUGCUUUUCAGAUUGAUUGCACCAGUUUGCCAUCUCACUAGCAAU